Molecule: transfer RNA, 84 nt
Filed under: Candidatus Woesearchaeota archaeon
Lineage: Archaea; Nanobdellati; Candidatus Woesearchaeota
Description: tRNA-Leu
Rfam family: tRNA
About the family: Transfer RNA (tRNA) molecules are approximately 80 nucleotides in length.
Source: RNAcentral
GCGGACGUGCCGGAGUGGUCAAACGGGAUGGACUCAAAAUCCAUUGGUUUAGUACCUACGCAGGUUCGAGCCCUGCCGUCCGCA